AUACGGAGGGUGCAAGCGUUAUUCGGAAUUACUGGGCGUAAAGGGCGCGUAGGCGGCGCAUUAAGUCAGUUGUGAAAGCCCGGGGCUCAACCCCGGAAGUGCAAUUGAAACUGGUGUGCUUGAGUAUGGUAGAGGGAAGUGGAAUUCCUGGUGUAGCGGUGAAAUGCGUAGAUAUCAGGAGGAACACCCGUGGCGAAGGCGACUUCCUGGACCAAUACUGACGCUGAGGCGCGAAGGCGUGGGGAGCAAACAGGAUUAGAUACCCCAGUAGUCC
RNAcentral lists this ribosomal RNA (274 nucleotides) under uncultured bacterium. RNAcentral's name for it is "partial 16S ribosomal RNA". It matches the Rfam family "Bacterial small subunit ribosomal RNA", at positions 523 to 796 of the family's 1533-position model. The record is from RNAcentral.